Lolium perenne is the source of this 703-nucleotide long non-coding RNA. RefSeq lists it as uncharacterized. Lineage: Eukaryota; Viridiplantae; Streptophyta; Magnoliopsida; Poales; Poaceae. The record is from RefSeq and is a predicted model, not a curated record.
AUCGAGUGAUUCAAAGUUCCUCAGAUAGAUACGGAAAAGAUCUACAACUUGGCGUUGGUCUCAUCCUCAAAUUCGUUACGGAUUGUCCGUGGUGAAAGCCCUCUUCAAUACCUUCAUUUUGGCGGUGGUUUCACUUUGAUUGACCUCCUGAAACUGAAAUGGUUCACAGGUCAAGAUCUGGUCAGAUCUGACUUUGUCGAAUUAAACCAGGAGCUUGGGAACGAAUCUUUGAGUGAAACAAAUUGGACGCGAGCAAUUCCGGAGAAGAAGAAGAAGUGGAAUUGGACAAGGAUUUUUUUUCUAUUGUUGGGAUUCUUAUAUUGAUAGAGUUGAAGAAGUACAGGGACAAAUAAGCCAAGGCAAGCCAUCUUUUGAUCUCUGAUCCGGUGUCUACUUGGAUGUCAUUUGUUGAUGUUCAAAGCACCUUCAUUCUAUGUGUGUUAUUAUCUCUAUUUAUGUCAUCUAUGUGUGUUUGCAAGUGGGGUACUCCCUAGUGGUGAUGCUCCACUAUUUGUCCUUGUGUUAUGGGAUGCAUGGUAACAUGGCCGUGCUAUCCCACUUGGUUAUCUUGUAUGCUCAACUUGAGCAUGUUCCAUCUCAAGAUAGUAACUUACACCACACCCACCCCUUUUGUAGUAUAGAGGUAUCAAUGUCAUGAUCUUGGUGUAUUCUCAACUUGAGAGGAGUAUGCCGUGUACCAUCU